RNAcentral lists this transfer RNA (74 nucleotides) under Perca flavescens (yellow perch). It matches the Rfam family "tRNA". From Rfam's summary of the family: Transfer RNA (tRNA) molecules are approximately 80 nucleotides in length. Their secondary structure includes four short double-helical elements and three loops (D, anti-codon, and T loops). The record is from Rfam by way of RNAcentral. Lineage: Eukaryota; Metazoa; Chordata; Actinopteri; Perciformes; Percidae.
GUCUCUGUGGCGCAAUAGGUCAGCUCAUUCGACUGUUAACCGAAAGGAUGGUGGUUCAAGUCCACCCAGGGAUG